Molecule: long non-coding RNA, 1133 nt
Organism: Triticum aestivum (bread wheat)
Lineage: Eukaryota; Viridiplantae; Streptophyta; Magnoliopsida; Poales; Poaceae
Exons: 3
Source: RefSeq, a predicted model, not a curated record
CAAUUUCUCAAGGGCAAUGCCAAUGGGAUGUUAAUCUGCUACGGGCAGCGGCGGUGCAUCAAGGUGCAAGGCAGCAGCGACGUGUUCAUAGUACGCUAAAGGAUGAGCUCCUACUUUUUCUGGUGCUAGCUCAUUGCUGCAGAUAUACAUGCCUGCUUAUAUCACCCAAGAUCUCCUUCUCCUGGUCAAGACAAUUGCACAUGAGAAGCCACUCAUUUUAGCAAGGCGAUGGUGUGCGAACCUUGUGCGCCUUCCUAGCUGUAUUGCGCCCCGAGGAUGCGGCGGAAGUGGCACAUGAUGAAAGAGGAAUAAUUGAAGCCCCAAUGCCUCCACAAAUUCUUGCUCCCUUACAAUGGGAGUACUAGGUUCGGUCCCCGCUGCGUUCAUGCUCAUCGGCGGGACGGUGCACGGCGCAACCCCGACGCAGUUCCUCACCGUUUGAACGGCGUUAAGGCGCAACCCCGGCGCCUACUCAGUACUACCUCGGCUACAACCUCCCUCGGUGAGCUCCAUCUUCCCCCUGUUCCUCUGCUUCCAUUAGUGUAUGGGACAUGGCCGUGGCUAUAUUGAUGUGGUGCUCAUCUGGUUGAGGCUCUAUGCCCUGCUCAUGCUUCGAUUCCUACUUGAGCUCUGUACUUGCUAUUCUAGGGUUCGCAGGCUGCUGUUCAUGUUUAGUUGCUAUCAUAGGAGCUCCUAUGAUGCUCUGGUUUACAUGUGGAUGCCCUGGUCCUAUAGCUAUGCUCAUUUGCUAAAUUGAUUAGUGGUGUUCGUGCUGGGGCGAUGAUGAUCAACCGUUGAUGAAAUAAGUGUGCCUUUGAGCAACCGAGGCACCUGUGGGUAUGAAGUUGGAUCCUCCCUAUUGUCUCUAGAAUCCUUUCUGAUCAUGUGAUACUUGUUGUUCUGUCCUUGGAUGUCCAUUCUUGUUGAGUGAUAACCAGGGCAGCUCCACUAUAUAAACAUAUUGAUCUGGUGAUAAGAGAUGACCGAGGUAGGUUAUAUGAUCGAGGAAAGGCGAAUCUAAGCCCACUGUUCAAUGAACCCUGAACCCUUUUUAUUUAUCUAUUUAUAGGUGUUGCUUAUUUAUGUCCCAGUGAUUAUAGCCAUCUUACGUGGUUUACAUGUGGAUGCCCUGG